AAAUGAGCAUUUUAUUUUUGUAAAAAAGUAAGUUUCUGAUAUUUAUAUUAAUUUAUUAUUAAUUUUGAUGUGAACUAUUUUUCAUUGGAGUAAUUGUCUAUAUUCCUUUCAAAACUUUAAAAAUAUCUAAUUUACCCCUAGUUAAUUUUUGUUUCAACAAUACCCCUCAUAUAUUCCUCCGUUAUUCAAAAAUGCCCCCGCAGUUACCACCUAUUAAGUUAUCUCGAGUUAAACGUGAGUUAAAUAUCUAACGGAGUUAAAAAAAAUCAAAAUAUUUCUUUUGUUCUUAACUUAAGGGCAAAUAAGUAAAGUUUGUGAUGGUAGAAGGGAAUAGUAGAAGGGUAUAUUUGAAAAAAAAUAAAAAAUCAAAACACUUAUUUUGCCCUAGUUAAGGGCAAAUAAGAAAGUUUGUGAUUGUAGAAGGGUAUAUUUGAAAGGGCAAAAUAGUAAUUUCACAGAGAUAACAGCUGUUGCUAACAGUUACUAACAGGAUUUAACUUUAAGGGUGCGUUUGGUUCGCGCUAUCUUUUAAAGAUUCCUAGUAAUCCAAUGGGAAUAAAAAAAAUAUGACGGUGUUUGGCUAAACGCAUUAAGUAAUCUAGUUGGUAAGAUUGGAUUCACUUGGGAAUAAGAUUCACCCCAAAGUACUAAUCUCAUUCCCUUGAGGGAGGGUGGGUAUCCUCAUAUUAAUGGAUUGGGAUAAUCAUAAUAUGUCUAAACUCUUUCUUUCUUCCUACCCACCGGCUAAUUGAUAUUAUUUUUCUUUACACUCUAACCUUAUAUCUCUCUCUAAACUUAUUUUUCUCUCUAAAAUUCAACUUUUUUUUCUCUCUCUAAACUAAGUUUUCUCUCUCUCUCUCUUUCUAAAAUUUCAACUCUCUCACUCCCUCUAAUUUCGACUAUAUUUUUCUUUCUAUUUUUUUAAUUAUGCUCUCUCUCUCUAACUUAUACUCUCUCUUUUUUCUAAAAAGAUGUUGAAAUUUUUGGUAACAUUAUCUAAAAUUAAAUAAAUAAAUAAAUUGUAUUUUUUUUCAAUAUUAAAUAACAUGGCUAAUUAAUAUUACCGUGCGAACCAAACACAGGAAUUCCACAUUCUUACUAAUAAGAUGAAGAGGAAUAAGAUUCUCGGAUAUCUUUUAUUCCUAGUAAUCUUUCAUAAUGCGAAUCAAACGCACCCUAAAGGUAUAUUUAAAAUAACUUGGAACGUUACAAGGGUAUUUUUAAUAAUAACCUUCUAAAAGGGGUAAAUCGGAAAAUCGAAAACUUUUCAGGAGUAUAUAAGAAAUUGCACCUUUUUUAUUCUAUUGCCGUAAUAACUCGCUAUAGCUUCUUUU
RNAcentral lists this long non-coding RNA (1334 nucleotides) under Ananas comosus (pineapple). RNAcentral describes it as "long non-coding RNA (ACOM_LNC035017)". The record is from RNAcentral. Lineage: Eukaryota; Viridiplantae; Streptophyta; Magnoliopsida; Poales; Bromeliaceae.